RNAcentral lists this long non-coding RNA (268 nucleotides) under Lathyrus oleraceus (garden pea). RNAcentral describes it as "Pisum sativum (pea) long non-coding RNA (PSAT_LNC017704)". The record is from RNAcentral. Lineage: Eukaryota; Viridiplantae; Streptophyta; Magnoliopsida; Fabales; Fabaceae.
UUUUUUUUUUUUAAAUUCUUAAGAAAUGAGGGUGAAAAGUAUUCGGAAACAAAGGUCUUGUCACAAAGUGUUUGUUUCAUGGUAAACACAUUAAAAUAUGAAGGCCCAUGUGUUGGAGGCGAAGCCCUAAUAGCAGCAGAGCAUGAAGAUGGAUUAUGGCGUGAGUGAAGGUCUGUAUGUGGUGGAUACUCACAUCCAUGUGAGCACACUGCCCCGUGGGUUUCGGGAGUACCAAAUUUGAAUACAAAAGGACAGUCAAAGCAUUGGG